UAGGGAAUCUUCCACAAUGGGCGCAAGCCUGAUGGAGCAACACCGCGUGAGUGAAGAAGGGUUUCGGCCCGUAAAGCUCUGUUGUUAAAGAAGAACACGUAUGAGAGUAACUGUUCAUACGUUGACGGUAUUUAACCAGAAAGUCACGGCUAACUACGUGUCAG
Molecule: ribosomal RNA, 164 nt
Filed under: uncultured bacterium
Lineage: Bacteria
Description: partial 16S rRNA
Rfam family: Bacterial small subunit ribosomal RNA
Source: RNAcentral